This 1343-nucleotide ribosomal RNA is filed under the name uncultured bacterium. RNAcentral's name for it is "16S ribosomal RNA". It matches the Rfam family "Bacterial small subunit ribosomal RNA", at positions 28 to 1378 of the family's 1533-position model. The record is from RNAcentral.
GACGAACGCUGGCGGCGUGCUUAACACGUGCAAGUCGAACGGAAAGGCCCUGCUUUUGUGGGGUGCUCGAGUGGCGAACGGGUGAGUAACACGUGAGUAACCUGCCCUUGACUUUGGGAUAACUUCAGGAAACUGGGGCUAAUACCGGAUAGGAGCUCCUGCUGCAUGGUGGGGGUUGGAAAGUUUCGGCGGUUGGGGAUGGACUCGCGGCUUAUCAGCUUGUUGGUGGGGUAGUGGCUUACCAAGGCUUUGACGGGUAGCCGGCCUGAGAGGGUGACCGGCCACAUUGGGACUGAGAUACGGCCCAGACUCCUACGGGAGGCAGCAGUGGGGAAUAUUGCACAAUGGGCGGAAGCCUGAUGCAGCAACGCCGCGUGCGGGAUGACGGCCUUCGGGUUGUAAACCGCUUUCGCCUGUGACGAAGCGUGAGUGACGGUAAUGGGUAAAGAAGCACCGGCUAACUACGUGCCAGCAGCCGCGGUGAUACGUAGGGUGCGAGCGUUGUCCGGAUUUAUUGGGCGUAAAGGGCUCGUAGGUGGUUGAUCGCGUCGGAAGUGUAAUCUUGGGGCUUAACCCUGAGCGUGCUUUCGAUACGGGUUGACUUGAGGAAGGUAGGGGAGAAUGGAAUUCCUGGUGGAGCGGUGGAAUGCGCAGAUAUCAGGAGGAACACCAGUGGCGAAGGCGGUUCUCUGGGCCUUUCCUGACGCUGAGGAGCGAAAGCGUGGGGAGCGAACAGGCUUAGAUACCCUGGUAGUCCACGCUGUAAACGGUGGGUACUAGGUGUGGGGUCCAUUCCACGGGUUCCGUGCCGUAGCUAACGCUUUAAGUACCCCGCCUGGGGAGUACGGCCGCAAGGCUAAAACUCAAAGGAAUUGACGGGGCCCCGCACAAGCGGCGGAGCAUGCGGAUUAAUUCGAUGCAACGCGUAGAACCUUACCUGGGUUUGACAAGGAUCGGGAGUGCUCAGAGAUGGGUGUGCCUCUUUUGGGGUCGGUUCACAGGUGGUGCAUGGCUGUCGUCAGCUCGUGUCGUGAGAUGUUGGGUUAAGUCCCGCAACGAGCGCAACCCUUGUUCACUGUUGCCAGCACGUUAUGGUGGGGACUCAGUGGAGACCGCCGGGGUCAACUCGGAGGAAGGUGGGGAUGACGUCAAGUCAUCAUGCCCCUUAUGUCCAGGGCUUCACGCAUGCUACAAUGGCUGGUACAGAGAGUGGCGAGCCUGUGAGGGUGAGCGAAUCUCGGAAAGCCGGUCUCAGUUCGGAUUGGGGUCUGCAACUCGACCUCAUGAAGUCGGAGUCGCUAGUAAUCGCAGAUCAGCAACGCUGCGGUGAAUACGUUCCCGGG